This 466-nucleotide ribosomal RNA is filed under the name uncultured bacterium. RNAcentral's name for it is "partial 16S ribosomal RNA". It matches the Rfam family "Bacterial small subunit ribosomal RNA", at positions 28 to 507 of the family's 1533-position model. The record is from RNAcentral.
GACGAACGCUGGCGGCGUGCUUAACACAUGCAAGUCGAACGGAAAGGCCCUGCUUGCAGGGUACUCGAGUGGCGAACGGGUGAGUAACACGUGGGUGAUCUGCCCUGCACUUCGGGAUAAGCUUGGGAAACUGGGUCUAAUACCGGAUAGGAACCAUCCUUAGUGUGGUGGUUGGAAAGUUUUUUCGGUGUAGGAUGAGCUCGCGGCCUAUCAGCUUGUUGGUGGGGUAAUGGCCUACCAAGGCGGCGACGGGUAGCCGGCCUGAGAGGGUGUACGGCCACAUUGGGACUGAGAUACGGCCCAGACUCCUACGGGAGGCAGCAGUGGGGAAUAUUGCACAAUGGGCGCAAGCCUGAUGCAGCGACGCCGCGUGGGGGAUGAAGGCCUUCGGGUUGUAAACUCCUUUCGCUAGGGACGAAGCUUUGUUGUGACGGUACCUAGAUAAGAAGCACCGGCUAACUACGUA